CUGUUUCUUGCCUCAACAGUGUUUGGGCAGAAAAG
Molecule: non-coding RNA, 35 nt
Organism: Myotis lucifugus (little brown bat)
Lineage: Eukaryota; Metazoa; Chordata; Mammalia; Chiroptera; Vespertilionidae
Source: Rfam